GACGAACGCUGGCGGCGUGCUUAACACAUGCAAGUCGAACGGUAAGGGCCUUCGGGGUGCACGAGUGGCGAACGGGUGAGUAACACGUUGGUGAUCUGCCCUGCACUUCGGGAUAAGCCUGGGAAACUGGGUCUAAUAACGGAUAGGACCACUGCCUGCAUGGGGGGUGGGGGAAAGCUUCUGCGGUGUGGGAUGGGCCCGCGGCCUAUCAGCUUGUUGGUGGGGUGAUGGCCUACCAAGGCGACGACGGGUAGCCGGCCUGAGAGGGUGACCGGCCACACUGGGACUGAGAUACGGCCCAGACUCCUACGGGAGGCAGCAGUGGGGAAUAUUGCACAAUGGGCGCAAGCCUUAUGCAGCGACGCCGCGUGAGGGAUGACGGCCUUCGGGUUGUAAACCUCCUUCAGCACCGACGAAGCGCAAGUGACGGUAGGUGCAGAAGAAGGACCGGCCAACUACGUGCCAGCCGCCGCGGUAA
Molecule: ribosomal RNA, 478 nt
Filed under: uncultured bacterium
Lineage: Bacteria
Description: partial 16S ribosomal RNA
Rfam family: Bacterial small subunit ribosomal RNA
Source: RNAcentral